This 429-nucleotide ribosomal RNA is filed under the name Bacteroidota bacterium. Its description in RNAcentral is "Bacteroidetes bacterium partial 16S ribosomal RNA". It matches the Rfam family "Bacterial small subunit ribosomal RNA", at positions 355 to 776 of the family's 1533-position model. Lineage: Bacteria; Pseudomonadati; Bacteroidota. The record is from RNAcentral.
UAGGGAAUCUUCGGCAAUGGGGGGAACCCUGACCGAGCAACGCCGCGUGAGUGAAGAAGGUUUUCGGAUCGUAAAGCUCUGUUGUUAAGGAAGAACGAGUGUGAGAAUGUAAAGUUCAUACUGUGACGGUACUUAACCAGAAAGGGACGGCUAACUACGUGCCAGCAGCCGCGGUAAUACGUAGGUCCCGAGCGUUGUCCGGAUUUAUUGGGCGUAAAGCGAGCGCAGGCGGUUAGAUAAGUCUGAAGUUAAAGGCAGUGGCUCAACCAUUGUAGGCUUUGGAAACUGUUUAACUUGAGUGCAGAAGGGGAGAGUGGAAUUCCAUGUGUAGCGGUGAAAUGCGUAGAUAUAUGGAGGAACACCGGUGGCGAAAGCGGCUCUCUGGUCUGUAACUGACGCGGAGGCUCGAAAGCGUGGGGAGCGAACAGG